ACUUGAAUAUAACCAAAGAUUCAAAGUGUUUAAAUGCGCUAUAUUCGAAGUAUUUAACCACAAGGAUUAUGUGAUUCAUAUAUCCACAUCCAACUGGACCUGUGCCAACCAUAAAGAAACCCAAUAUUAGACUAAGUAAAUUUUAUCCAAUAUCUAAAUUGUUUUCUUUCACCCUUUUCUUACAAUGAUUGCAACUUAUAGUACCCCUAUAGAGUACUAUAAUGU
Molecule: long non-coding RNA, 225 nt
Filed under: Capsicum annuum
Lineage: Eukaryota; Viridiplantae; Streptophyta; Magnoliopsida; Solanales; Solanaceae
Description: long non-coding RNA (CANN_LNC022169)
Source: RNAcentral